GAAAAAGCCAUGCUAGUUGUGCGGGAAAAGAGGGGCAGCGGUUUGCACAGUAACACGUGGGGUUGCAUGGCUGUGGACGGGAAUUUUGUCCCCUUUCUGAGGCUAAUUCCCAAUAACGCUUCACCCCUGGAAUGGGUGAAGCCGGAAACGUUCCGACGCCACAGGAUGCGGCUGCGGUCGAUUAGGUAGACGGUGGGGUAACGGCCCACCGUGCCUAUAAUCGGUACGGGUUGUGAGAGCAAGAGCCCGGAGACGGAAUCUGAGACAAGAUUCCGGGCCCUACGGGGCGCAGCAGGCGCGAAACCAAAACACUGUACGCAAGUGCGAUAAGGGGACUCCGAGUGUGAAGGCAUAGAGCCUUCACAAAAGUACACCGUGGGGUGGUGUACGAAUAAGGACUGGGCAAGACCGGUGCCAGCCGCCGCGGUAAUACCGGCAGUCCGAGUGAUGGGGGAUUAAUAACCCCCUAAAGCGUCCGUAGCUGGCUAGACAAGUCCGUUGGGAAAUCUGCCCGCUUAACCCCCAGGCGUCCAGCGGAAACUGUCUAGCUUGGGACCGGAAGACCUGAGGGGUACGUCUGGGGUAGGAGUGAAAUCCUGUAAUUUUGGACGGACCGCCGGUGGCGAAAGCGCCUCAGGAGAACGGAUCCGACAGUGAGGGACGAAAGCUACCCUCUCGAACCGGAUUAGAUACCCGGGUAGUCCUAGCUGUAAACGAUGUCCGCUAGGUGUGGCGCAGGCUACGAGCCUGCGCUGUGCCGUAGGGAAGCCGAGAAGCGGACCGCCUGGGAAGUACGUCUGCAAGGAUGAAACUUUUUCCAAUUGGCGGGGGAGCACUACAACCGGAGGAGCCUGCGGAAAAUUUGGACUCAACGCCGGACAUCUGAGGAGGGGGGACAGUAGUAAUGACGGUCAGGUUGAUGACCUUACCCGAUGCUACUCACACCUCCCCGGCGUCAGCUCGUACCGUGAGGCGUCCUGUUAAGUCAGGCAACGAGCGAGACCCGCACUCCUAAUUGCCAGCAGUACCCUUUGGGUAGCUGGGUACAUUAGGGGGACUGCCGCUGCUAAAGCGGAGGAAGGAACCCCCAACGGUAGGUCAGUAUGCCCCGAAUGGGCUGGGCAACACGCGGGCUACAAUGGUCGAGACAAUGGGAAGCCACUCCGAGAGGAGGCGCUAAUCUCCUAAACUCGAUCGUAGUUCGGAUUGAGGGCUGAAACUCGCCCUCAUGUUGCUGGAUUCGGUAGUAAUCGCGUGUCAGCAGCGCGCGGUGAAUACGUCCCUGCUCCUUGCACACACCGGGCGUCAAAUCACCCGAGUGGGGUUCGGAUGAGGCCGGCAUACGCCGGUCAAAUCUGGGCUCCGCAACCCCCCAUUAAGUCGUAACAAG
RNAcentral lists this ribosomal RNA (1390 nucleotides) under Halobacterium sp. RNAcentral's name for it is "bacterial SSU rRNA". It matches the Rfam family "Archaeal small subunit ribosomal RNA". The record is from RNAcentral. Lineage: Archaea; Methanobacteriati; Methanobacteriota; Halobacteria; Halobacteriales; Halobacteriaceae.